GACGAACGCUGGCGGCGUGCCUAACACAUGCAAGUCGAGCGGGGUUGAAGCGAGGGGUAACUCGAGUUUCUACCUAGCGGCGGACGGGUGAGUAACGCGUGGGCAACCUGCCUCAAGGACUGGGAUAACAGCUCGAAAGGGCUGCUAAUACCGGAUAAGCCUAUGGCCUCGCAUGGGGCCAUGAGCAAAGGGGAAACCCGCCUUGAGAUGGGCCCGCGUCCCAUCAGCUAGUUGGUGAGGUGAAGGCUCACCAAGGCGACGACGGGUAGCCGGCCUGAGAGGGUGACCGGCCACACUGGGACUGAGACACGGCCCAGACUCCUACGGGGGGCAGCAGUGGGGAAUCUUGCACAAUGGGCGAAAGCCUGAUGCAGCGACGCCGCGUGAGCGAAGAAGGCCUUCGGGUUGUAAACGUAGCUUUUGUUACGGAACGAAAAGACGUCUCUCUAAUACAGGGGUGAGUGACGGUACCGUAAGAAUAAGCACCGGCUAACUACGUAGCCAGCAGCCGUAC
RNAcentral lists this ribosomal RNA (514 nucleotides) under uncultured bacterium. Its description in RNAcentral is "bacterial SSU rRNA". It matches the Rfam family "Bacterial small subunit ribosomal RNA", at positions 28 to 520 of the family's 1533-position model. The record is from RNAcentral.